RNAcentral lists this ribosomal RNA (425 nucleotides) under uncultured Absicoccus sp. Its description in RNAcentral is "bacterial SSU rRNA". It matches the Rfam family "Bacterial small subunit ribosomal RNA", at positions 354 to 771 of the family's 1533-position model. The record is from RNAcentral. Lineage: Bacteria; Bacillati; Bacillota; Erysipelotrichia; Erysipelotrichales; Erysipelotrichaceae.
GUAGGGAAUUUUCGUCAAUGGGGGGAACCCUGAACGAGCAAUGCCGCGUGAGUGAAGACGGUCUUCGGAUUGUAAAGCUCUGUUGCGAGAGAAAAAGGACAGGCAGAGGGAAUGCUGUUUGUUUGAUGGUAUCUCGCCAGAAAGUCACGGCUAACUACGUGCCAGCAGCCGCGGUAAUACGUAGGUGGCGAGCGUUAUCCGGAAUGAUUGGGCGUAAAGGGUACGUAGGCGGCCAGAUAAGUCUGGUGUGAAAGGCUGCAGCUCAACUGCAGCACUGCACUGGAAACUGUCCGGCUGGAGUGCAGAAGAGGGCGAUGGAACUCCAUGUGUAGCGGUAAAAUGCGUAGAUAUAUGGAAGAACACCGGUGGCGAAGGCGGUCGCCUGGUCUGCAACUGACGCUGAAGUACGAAAGCGUGGGGAGCAA